AAAGAAAAGCCAAAUUAUUGAUCAUGGAGGCCGGACACAUGAAGAGCCGUUCACAUGCAACAAGAUGCGUUUUGCAAAAUUAACUAAUUAAGAGGCCACUGAUAGCAACCCAGCCGAAUUUGGGUCCACAAUGCUCGUUUGGAUCAUUAUAUUGGGGCUCAAGAGGCGACUCUGGUCUCCUCCUGAAGCGCGUCACAUGUUUUCUAGAGAGUAUUGGGCACUCAAACAACAAUUAAAUGGACGAAAGAGCAGUGUAUGUUCAACCAAAUCCCCCAUUGCUUAUCAUGCUCUG
This 292-nucleotide long non-coding RNA is filed under the name Elaeis guineensis (African oil palm). Its description in RNAcentral is "long non-coding RNA (EGUI_LNC070709)". Lineage: Eukaryota; Viridiplantae; Streptophyta; Magnoliopsida; Arecales; Arecaceae. The record is from RNAcentral.